RNAcentral lists this ribosomal RNA (492 nucleotides) under uncultured bacterium. RNAcentral's name for it is "partial 16S ribosomal RNA". It matches the Rfam family "Bacterial small subunit ribosomal RNA", at positions 29 to 507 of the family's 1533-position model. The record is from RNAcentral.
AGUGAACGCUGGCGGUAGGCCUAACACAUGCAAGUCGAACGGCAGCACAGUAAGAGCUUGCUCUUACGGGUGGCGAGUGGCGGACGGGUGAGGAAUACAUCGGCAUCUACUUUUUCGUGGGGGAUAACGUAGGGAAACUUACGCUAAUACCGCAUACGACCUACGGGUGAAAGCAGGGGAACUUCGGACCUUGCGCGAUUGAAUGAGCCGAUGUCGGAUUAGCUAGUUGGCGGGGUAAAGGCCCACCAAGGCGACGAUCCGUAGCUGGUCUGAGAGGAUGAUCAGCCACACUGGAACUGAGGCACGGUCCAGACUCCUACGGGAGGCAGCAGUGGGAGAUAUUGGACAAUGGGCGCAAGCCUGAUCCAGCCAUACCGCGUGGGUGAAGAAGGCCGUCGGGUUGUAAAGCCCUUUUGUUGGGAAAGAAAAGCAGCAGGUUAAUACCCCGCUGUUCUGACGGUACCCAAAGAAUAAGCACCGGCUAACUUCGUG